RNAcentral lists this ribosomal RNA (497 nucleotides) under uncultured bacterium. RNAcentral describes it as "partial 16S ribosomal RNA". It matches the Rfam family "Bacterial small subunit ribosomal RNA", at positions 28 to 507 of the family's 1533-position model. The record is from RNAcentral.
GAUGAACGCUGGCGGCGUGCCUAAUACAUGCAAGUCGAGCGAACGGACGAGAAGCUUGCUUUUCUGAUGUUAGCGGCGGACGGGUGAGUAACACGUGGAUAACCUACCUAUAAGACUGGGAUAACUUCGGGAAACCGGAGCUAAUACCGGAUAAUAUUUUGAACCGCAUGGUUCAUAAGUGAAAGACGGUCUUGCUGUCACUUAUAGAUGGAUCCGCGCUGCAUUAGCUAGUUGGUAAGGUAACGGCUUACCAAGGCAACGAUGCAUAGCCGACCUGAGAGGAUGAUCGGCCACACUGGAACUGAGACACGGUCCAGACUCCUACGGGAGGCAGCAGUAGGGAAUCUUCCGCAAUGGGCGAAAGCCUGACGGAGCAACGCCGCGUGAGUGAUGAAGGUCUUCGGAUCGUAAAACUCUGUUAUUAGGGAAGAACAUAUGUGUAAGUAACUGUGCACAUCUUGACGGUACCUAAUCAGAAAGCCACGGCUAACUACGUG